GGUUAAGCGACUAAGCGUACACGGUGGAUGCCCUGGCAGUCAGAGGCGAUGAAGGACGUGCUAAUCUGCGAAAAGCGCCGGCGAGGUGAUAUGAACCCUUGACCCGGCGAUGUCCGAAUGGGGAAACCCAGUGCAAUCCGUUGCACUAUCGUUAACUGAAUACAUAGGUUAACGAGGCGAACCGGGGGAACUGAAACAUCUAAGUACCCCGAGGAAAAGAAAUCAACCGAGAUUCCCCCAGUAGCGGCGAGCGAACGGGGAGCAGCCCGGAGUCUGAAUCAGCUUGUGUGUUAGUGGAACGGUCUGGAAAGUCCGACGGUACAGGGUGAUAGUCCCGUACACGAAAGCACACAUGCUGUGAACUCGAAGAGUAGGGCGGGACACGUGGUAUCCUGUCUGAAUAUGGGGGGACCAUCCUCCAAGGCUAAAUACUCCUGACUGACCGAUAGUGAACCAGUACCGUGAGGGAAAGGCGAAAAGAACCCCGGCGAGGGGAGUGAAAAAGAACCUGAAACCGUGUACGUACAAGCAGUGGGAGCCUCUUUAUGGGGUGACUGCGUACCUUUUGUAUAAUGGGUCAGCGACUUAUAUUCUGUAGCAAGGUUAACCGUAUAGGGGAGCCGAAGGGAAACCGAGUCUUAACUGGGCGUUAAGUUGCAGGGUAUAGACCCGAAACCCGGUGAUCUAGCCAUGGGCAGGUUGAAGGUUGGGUAACACUAACUGGAGGACCGAACCGACUAAUGUUGAAAAAUUAGCGGAUGACCUGUGGCUGGGGGUGAAAGGCCAAUCAAACCGGGAGAUAGCUGGUUCUCCCCGAAAGCUAUUUAGGUAGCGCCUCGUGAACUCAUCUUCGGGGGUAGAGCACUGUUUCGGCUAGGGGGCCAUCCCGGCUUACCAACCCGAUGCAAACUACGAAUACCGAAGAAUGUUAUCACGGGAGACACACGGCGGGUGCUAACGUCCGUCGUGAAGAGGGAAACAACCCAGACCGCCAGCUAAGGUCCCAAAGUCAUGGUUAAGUGGGAAACGAUGUGGGAAGGCACAGACAGCCAGGAUGUUGGCUUAGAAGCAGCCAUCAUUUAAAGAAAGCGUAAUAGCUCACUGGUCGAGUCGGCCUGCGCGGAAGAUGUAACGGGGCUAAACCAUGCACCGAAGCUGCGGCAGCGACACUAUGUGUUGUUGGGUAGGGGAGCGUUCUGUAAGCCGUUGAAGGUGUGCUGUGAGGCAUGCUGGAGGUAUCAGAAGUGCGAAUGCUGACAUAAGUAACGAUAAAGCGGGUGAAAAGCCCGCUCGCCGGAAGACCAAGGGUUCCUGUCCAACGUUAAUCGGGGCAGGGUGAGUCGACCCCUAAGGCGAGGCCGAAAGGCGUAGUCGAUGGGAAACAGGUUAAUAUUCCUGUACUUGGUGUUACUGCGAAGGGGGGACGGAGAAGGCUAUGUCAGCCGGGCGACGGUUGUCCCGGUUUAAGCAUGUAGGCGGAGGUUCCAGGUAAAUCCGGUACCUUAUUAACGCUGAGGUGUGAUGACGAGGCACUACGGUGCUGAAGUGAUAAAUGCCCUGCUUCCAGGAAAAGCCUCUAAGCAUCAGGUAACACGAAAUCGUACCCCAAACCGACACAGGUGGUCAGGUAGAGAAUACCAAGGCGCUUGAGAGAACUCGGGUGAAGGAACUAGGCAAAAUGGUGCCGUAACUUCGGGAGAAGGCACGCUGAUAUGUAGGUGAAGCCCCUGCGGGCGGAGCUGAAAUCAGUCGAAGAUACCAGCUGGCUGCAACUGUUUAUUAAAAACACAGCACUGUGCAAACACGAAAGUGGACGUAUACGGUGUGACGCCUGCCCGGUGCCGGAAGGUUAAUUGAUGGGGUUAGCGGCAACGCGAAGCUCUUGAUCGAAGCCCCGGUAAACGGCGGCCGUAACUAUAACGGUCCUAAGGUAGCGAAAUUCCUUGUCGGGUAAGUUCCGACCUGCACGAAUGGCGUAAUGAUGGCCAGGCUGUCUCCACCCGAGACUCAGUGAAAUUGAACUCGCUGUGAAGAUGCAGUGUACCCGCGGCAAGACGGAAAGACCCCGUGAACCUUUACUAUAGCUUGACACUGAACACUGGUCCUUGAUGUGUAGGAUAGGUGGGAGGCUUUGAAGCGUGGACGCCAGUCUGCGUGGAGCCAACCUUGAAAUACCACCCUUUAAUGGCUGGUGUUCUAACGUGGACCCGUAAUCCGGGUUGCGGACAGUGUCUGGUGGGUAGUUUGACUGGGGCGGUCUCCUCCCAAAGAGUAACGGAGGAGCACGAAGGUUGGCUAAUCCUGGUCGGACAUCAGGAGGUUAGUGCAAUGGCAUAAGCCAGCUUGACUGCGAGCGUGACGGCGCGAGCAGGUGCGAAAGCAGGUCAUAGUGAUCCGGUGGUUCUGAAUGGAAGGGCCAUCGCUCAACGGAUAAAAGGUACUCCGGGGAUAACAGGCUGAUACCGCCCAAGAGUUCAUAUCGACGGCGGUGUUUGGCACCUCGAUGUCGGCUCAUCACAUCCUGGGGCUGAAGUAGGUCCCAAGGGUAUGGCUGUUCGCCAUUUAAAGUGGUACGCGAGCUGGGUUUAGAACGUCGUGAGACAGUUCGGUCCCUAUCUGCCGUGGGCGCUGGAGAAUUGAGGGGGGCUGCUCCUAGUACGAGAGGACCGGAGUGGACGCAUCACUGGUGUUCGGGUUGUCAUGCCAAUGGCACUGCCCGGUAGCUAAAUGCGGAAGAGAUAAGUGCUGAAAGCAUCUAAGCACGAAACUUGCCCCGAGAUGAGUUCUCCCUGAGACUUUAAGUCUCCUGAAGGAACGUUGAAGACGACGACGUUGAUAGGUCGGGUGUGUAAGCGCAGCGAUGCGUUGAGCUAACCGAUACUAAUGAACCGUGAGGCUUAACCUU
Molecule: ribosomal RNA, 2905 nt
Filed under: Enterobacter hormaechei
Lineage: Bacteria; Pseudomonadati; Pseudomonadota; Gammaproteobacteria; Enterobacterales; Enterobacteriaceae
Description: 23S ribosomal RNA
Rfam family: Bacterial large subunit ribosomal RNA
Source: RNAcentral